RNAcentral lists this ribosomal RNA (501 nucleotides) under uncultured bacterium. RNAcentral describes it as "bacterial SSU rRNA". It matches the Rfam family "Bacterial small subunit ribosomal RNA", at positions 366 to 869 of the family's 1533-position model. The record is from RNAcentral.
GGUCAAUGGAGUCAACUCUGGACCAGCCAUGCCGGGUGAAGGAAGAAUGUCCUACGGAUUGUAAACUUCUUUUUUUAGGGAAGUAACCUCUGGUCGAGAACCAGGGCUGACGGUACCAAAAGAAUAAGGACCGGCUAACUCCGUGCCAGCAGCCGCGGUAAUACGGAGGGUCCAAGCUUUAUCCGGAAUCAUUGGGUUUAAAGGGUUCGCAGGCUGUUUAAUAAGUCAGUGGUGAAAUCUUGAGGCUCAACCUUGAAACUGCCAUUGAUACUGUUAGACUUGAAUACAGUUGGAGUAGGCUGAAUGUGUAGUGUAGCGGUGAAAUGCUUAGAUAUUACACCGAACACCGAUAGCGAAGGCAGCUUACUAAACUGUGAUUGACGCUCAUGAACGAAAGCGUGGGGAGCGAACAGGAUUAGAUACCUUGGUAGUCCACGCCGUAAACUAUGAUUACUUGAUAUGGCUAUAUACUUCAGUGUGUAAGCGAAAAAAUAAAUAGUC